GCAGCUGUGAUGAAAUGAAACAAUAGAAGGGCAUGCCGUUCUAUUAGAGUUUUUACGGUAUACAUUUCUUAAAAUUUACUACUGAUAA
RNAcentral lists this small nucleolar RNA (88 nucleotides) under Caenorhabditis japonica. RNAcentral's name for it is "snoRNA CJA49044". The record is from RNAcentral. Lineage: Eukaryota; Metazoa; Nematoda; Chromadorea; Rhabditida; Rhabditidae.